RNAcentral lists this unclassified non-coding RNA (706 nucleotides) under Acrophialophora levis. RNAcentral's name for it is "sequence contains 18S rRNA gene, ITS1, 5.8S rRNA gene, ITS2, 28S rRNA gene". The stretch from base 213 to 366 matches the Rfam family "5.8S ribosomal RNA". The record is from RNAcentral. Lineage: Eukaryota; Fungi; Ascomycota; Sordariomycetes; Sordariales; Chaetomiaceae.
AGUCGUAACAAGGUCUCCGUUGGUGAACCAGCGGAGGGAUCAUUACAGAGUUGCAAAACUCCCCAAACCAUUGUGAACCUUACCUUCAACCGUUGCUUCGGCGGGCGGGCCACAGCGCCCCCCCGGCCCCCCCCAGCGGGGCGCCCGCCGGAGGAUACCCAAACUCUUGAUACUUUAUGGCCUCUCUGAGUCUUCUGUACUGAAUAAGUCAAAACUUUCAACAACGGAUCUCUUGGUUCUGGCAUCGAUGAAGAACGCAGCGAAAUGCGAUAAGUAAUGUGAAUUGCAGAAUUCAGUGAAUCAUCGAAUCUUUGAACGCACAUUGCGCCCGCCAGUAUUCUGGCGGGCAUGCCUGUUCGAGCGUCAUUUCAACCAUCAAGCCCCCGGGCUUGUGUUGGGGACCUGCGGCUGCCCGCAGGCCCUGAAAACCAGUGGCGGGCUCGCUGUCACACCGAGCGUAGUAGCAUCAUCUCGCUCAGGGCGUGCUGCGGGUUCCGGCCGUUAAAAGCCUCUAAUACCCAAGGUUGACCUCGGAUCAGGUAGGAAGACCCGCUGAACUUAAGCAUAUCAAUAAGCGGAGGAAAAGAAACCAACAGGGAUUGCCCUAGUAACGGCGAGUGAAGCGGCAACAGCUCAAAUUUGAAAUCUGGCUUCGGCCCGAGUUGUAAUUUGCAGAGGAAGCUUUAGGCGCGGCACCUCCUGAGUC